AAUUACUUUUCCCAAAGACUCUUGCUCACUUUUCCCAAACACUCUUCCUGUCUCUCCAACCUACGAAAUUUGUCUCUCUGUCUCUAACCCCAUAUCUAGAUCCGGCCAACGACGGUGACACAAACCAAUGGAGAGCUAUUUCCUUCAAAUCGCGGGUGAAGAUCUAUUUCUUUCGAAUCAUGGGUGAAGUCCUUCAAAUCAAAAAGCUUUUUAGAAGAAUUUACAGUGAAAUUUUCAUGAGAAAGCAUUAAUUUAGAGGAUUAGAUUGCUGGAUUUGUUUUCAUGAGGAAGAAACACACGGUCAUGAUUUGAAGGAAAUUUAGUCUGUGAUUUUUUGAAGGUAAUUCAGUUUUACUUUUAUUUUAAAAUUCAACACAGUGUUGAUUUGCACUUGCACAGGUUUCUUCCAUCAAUUGGGGUACUUAAAUUCCACAUGGACAUUGUUCUAUUUUUCCAUUAGGCUUUUUUUCCUUUCCUUUUAACAUUGGCCUUGUUCAAUUGAACUCUGCACUUAGUAAUUUUUUACAUAGCCAAUAUUGAUUUCGUUCUGGUUGCAUUACAUUUGUUCGAUGGUGGCAGGAAGGAAUAAAUAUAGCGAGGAACAUGACUAUUGGGAGAUUUUCCUCGACAUAACUCUACGUAAGGAUUAAAGAGAUUCGAAAGACAACGAGAAUGGAAAGAAAGGUGUCAAUAAAAUGUAGCAUUGAACUUCGAUGUAAUUGGACAGUGAUAAUUGUAUCUCUUUGUAUUUGUAUCUUGUAUGAUUUUACAUCGGUUGCACAAUCUACUGUACCAAUCGCCAUUUAUGAAUCUAUCCUAUUUCCUCUUUUUUUUUCUCUGUGUACUUAGUCUUUUACAAGAGAUCUAUGAGUUUCCAUGUUGCC
RNAcentral lists this long non-coding RNA (884 nucleotides) under Olea europaea subsp. europaea. Lineage: Eukaryota; Viridiplantae; Streptophyta; Magnoliopsida; Lamiales; Oleaceae. The record is from RNAcentral.